AUACAAUUUUUGCCAUUUUCUUAAGCAUGUGGUGGUAUUUUCCUAUUGGAAAAGGGAAUUGUUGUCAGUUAGCUAACUUGAUUUUGUCUGGAUGCGGCAGCUCGAUAGCAUUCAGCAUCGGAGACGAGCAGUACACCACAAAGGACGUCCUGCGGGUCGCAAACACGAGAAAUACAAACCCGAGCCUCUGGAGCAAGGUGCUUAGAAGAAAGCUCCAAGAAAUCCGUGGAGAAGACGAGGAAGAGCCGUGAGAGGAAGCCCAAGCACCAAGUCGGCCCGGAUGGAAGUUAGUUUCUACUGAUCCUAACCAGGAUUCAACAAACUAUGCAGCUCGAUGGAAAGAAGUUCCAGAAUUGUGUUUAAAUAUAAGUUUCAAGUGUAGUGACAGUGUGACGAAUAUGGUAAUGAAAAUAAAUCAUAUUUUUGAUGAAAUUCAAUUUGUUUUCUUUUUUAUUACCAGAAAUAGAAACGUAACAAAUAGUAAAAAGAAUCUAAAUAUCAUUCCGAUACUAAACACAUUUCACGUAGUUUUCAUU
Molecule: long non-coding RNA, 536 nt
Organism: Uranotaenia lowii
Lineage: Eukaryota; Metazoa; Arthropoda; Insecta; Diptera; Culicidae
Exons: 3
Source: RefSeq, a predicted model, not a curated record